RNAcentral lists this ribosomal RNA (254 nucleotides) under uncultured bacterium. RNAcentral's name for it is "partial 16S ribosomal RNA". It matches the Rfam family "Bacterial small subunit ribosomal RNA", at positions 524 to 776 of the family's 1533-position model. The record is from RNAcentral.
UACGAAGGGGGCUAGCGUUGCUCGGAAUCACUGGGCGUAAAGCGCACGUAGGCGGAUUGUUAAGUCAGGGGUGAAAGCCUGGAGCUCAACUCCAGAACUGCCCUUGAUACUGGCAAUCUCGAGUCCGGAAGAGGUAAGUGGAACUCCGAGUGUAGAGGUGAAAUUCGUAGAUAUUCGGAAGAACACCAGUGGCGAAGGCGGCUUACUGGUCCGGUACUGACGCUGAGGUGCGAAAGCCGUGGGGAGCAAACAGG